AGCGUUGUAGUGUAGUGAUUAUCACUCGAGAUUCUGAUGAUCAGGUCAUGAAUCUCGUUGAUCAUUCUCGUAACCCAGGUUCGAGCCCUGGCAGUGUCU
This is a non-coding RNA of Tephrocybe rancida, 99 nucleotides long. Lineage: Eukaryota; Fungi; Basidiomycota; Agaricomycetes; Agaricales; Lyophyllaceae. The record is from the annotation of a GenBank genome assembly.